UUGUCGAUUAUUGGGCGUAAAGCGCGCGCAGGCGGUUCCUUAAGUCUGAUGUGAAAGCCCCCGGCUCAACCGGGGAGGGUCAUUGGAAACUGGGGAACUUGAGUGCAGAAGAGGAGAGCGGAAUUCCACGUGUAGCGGUGAAAUGCGUAGAGAUGUGGAGGAACACCAGUGGCGAAGGCGGCUCUCUGGUCUGUAACUGACGCUGAGGCGCGAAAGCGUGGGGAGCGAACAGGAUUAGAUACCCUGGUAGUCCACGCCGUAAACGAUGAGUGCUAAGUGUUAGAGGGUUUCCGCCCUUUAGUGCUGCAGCAAACGCAUUAAGCACUCCGCCUGGGGAGUACGGCCGCAAGGCUGAAACUCAAAGGAAUUGACGGGGGCCCGCACAAGCGGUGGAGCAUGUGGUUUAAUUCGAAGCAACGCGAAGAACCUUACCAGGUCUUGACAUCCUCUGACAACCCUAGAGAUAGGGCGUUCCCCUUCGGGGGACAGAGUGACAGGUGGUGCAUGGUUGUCGUCAGCUCGUGUCGUGAGAUGUUGGGUUAAGUCCCGCAACGAGCGCAACCCUUGAUCUUAGUUGCCAGCAUUCAGUUGGGCACUCUAAGGUGACUGCCGGUGACAAACCGGAGGAAGGUGGGGAUGACNUCAAAUCAUCAUGCCCCUUAUGACCUGGGCUACACACNUGCUACAAUGGAUGGAACAAAGGGCNGCAAAACCNCGAGGUCNANCCAAUCCAUAAAUCCAUUCU
This 745-nucleotide ribosomal RNA is filed under the name Bacillus sp. SKT-4b. Its description in RNAcentral is "bacterial SSU rRNA". It matches the Rfam family "Bacterial small subunit ribosomal RNA", at positions 542 to 1288 of the family's 1533-position model. The record is from RNAcentral. Lineage: Bacteria; Bacillati; Bacillota; Bacilli; Caryophanales; Bacillaceae.